AUUGGAACGCUGGCGGCAGGCCUAACACAUGCAAGUCGAGCGGAUGAACGGGAGCUGAAUCCCUGAUUCAGCGGCGGACGGGUGAGUAAUGCCUAGGAAUACUGCCUGGUAGUGGGGACCCAACGUUCCGAUAAUGGAGCGCUAAUACCGCAUACGUCCUACGGGAGAAUUAGUGRGGGAUCUCGGACCUCACGCUAUCAGAUGAGCCUAGGUCGGAUUAGCUAGUAGGUGGGGUAAUGGCUCACCUAGGCGACGAUCCGUAGCACUGGUCUGAGAGGAUGAUCAGUCACACGGGAACUGAGACACGGUCCCAGAUCCURCGGGAGGCAGRAGUGGGGAAUAUUGGACRAUGGGCGAAAGCCUGAUCCAGCCAUGCCGCSUCACACAGAAGGUCUUCKGAUUGUAAAGCACUUUAAGUUGGGAAGAAGGCAGGAAGAUAUACCUUGCUGUUUGACGUUACCA
RNAcentral lists this ribosomal RNA (462 nucleotides) under Pseudomonas citronellolis. RNAcentral's name for it is "bacterial SSU rRNA". It matches the Rfam family "Bacterial small subunit ribosomal RNA", at positions 31 to 480 of the family's 1533-position model. The record is from RNAcentral. Lineage: Bacteria; Pseudomonadati; Pseudomonadota; Gammaproteobacteria; Pseudomonadales; Pseudomonadaceae.